CCAAAGCCCCCCGCUUACACCGAGAUGAUACCUGUUUAAACCAAGUCAUUUUGAGCCCGCAAUCUAGCCCGCAUCCUCCCCAUGUUGCCCCUAACUUAUUAAUUCUUUAAUAAAACAUUUCAACGUCUUAGUACAGGAGAUCGAAAAGUUUAUAGGCGCCUCAGAUAGAGUACCGCAAGGGAACGAUGAAAUAAUAAUGAAAUAAUUAUAAGCCUGAAAUAGCAGAGACACCCCCUCGUACCUUUUGUAUCAUGGUCUAGCCAGUUUAACCAAGCAAAAAGAAAAUUUAAGUUUGACCCCCCGAAACUAAACGAGCUACUUCAAAACAGCCCCAAGAGCUAACCCGUCUCUGUUGCAAAAGAGUGGGAAGAUUUUCAAGUAGAGGUGACAUGCCUACCGAGUUUAGAGAUAGCUGGUUGCUCAGGAAAAGAGUUUUAGCUCUACCUUAAGUUUCUUAAUUACUUCUAUAACCGCACUAAACUUAAGAGCUAUUCAAAUAAGGCACAGCUUAUUUGAGACAGGAUACAACCUCACACACAGGGUAAGUAAGGGUGAUUAAUUCAAAGUGGGCCUAAAAGCAGCCAUCUUUAAGAAAGCGUUACAGCUCCACCUCAUCUAACCCAUAAUUAUCUAAAACCCCCCCCAACCCUUCACCUCUACUGAACCAUUUUAUAUUGAUAUAAAAAUUAUUAUGCUAGAACUAGUAACAAGAACCUGCCCUUCUCCUAAAUAUAAGAAUAAGCCAAAACGGACACCCCACUGGCAAUUAACGUUAUUGAACCCAUUAUAACAACCCCAACCAGAAAAUCCUACAUUUACUAACGUCAACCUUACACCAGAAUAUUAAAGGAAAGAUUAAAAGAAAGAGAAGGAACUCGGCAAACUUUAACCCCGCCUGUUUACCAAAAACAUCGCCUCUUGACACACAUAAGAGGUCCAGCCUGCCCAGUGACAAAGUUCAACGGCCGCGGUACCCUGACCGUGCAAAGGUAGCAUAAUCACUUGUUCUUUAAAUAAGGACUUGUAUCAACGGCAUCACGAGGGUUACACUGUCUCCUCUUUCUAAUCAGUGAAACUGAUCCCCCCGUGAAGAAGCUGGGAUCAACCUAUAAGACGAGAAGACCCCAUGGAGCUUUAAACUACGUACCUACUCCGUCAAACUAACAACUAAACUAAAAAAUUUAGGUAUCAUUUUAGGUUGGGGGGACCACGGAGUACAAUUUAACCUCCACAACAAACAGGCCACGCCUUAAACCACGAGCCACACCUCUAAGAAUUAAUAACUUAAUGUUUAUGACCCAAGUAAUUGAUCAAUGAACCAAGUUACCCUGGGGAUAACAGCGCAAUCUAUUUCAAGAGUCCCUAUCGACAAAUAGGUUUACGACCUCGAUGUUGGAUCAGGGUAUCCCAGUGGUGCAGCCGCUAC
RNAcentral lists this ribosomal RNA (1426 nucleotides) under Chalcorana mocquardi. Its description in RNAcentral is "Hylarana mocquardi partial 16S ribosomal RNA". It matches the Rfam family "Bacterial large subunit ribosomal RNA", at positions 361 to 2565 of the family's 2925-position model. The record is from RNAcentral. Lineage: Eukaryota; Metazoa; Chordata; Amphibia; Anura; Ranidae.